UAGCUCAGUUGGUAGAGUGCUUGCCUCUCAUGCAUAAAGCCCUGGGUUCGAUCCCCAG
Molecule: transfer RNA, 58 nt
Filed under: Ictidomys tridecemlineatus (thirteen-lined ground squirrel)
Lineage: Eukaryota; Metazoa; Chordata; Mammalia; Rodentia; Sciuridae
Description: Spermophilus tridecemlineatus (thirteen-lined ground squirrel) tRNA
Rfam family: tRNA
About the family: Transfer RNA (tRNA) molecules are approximately 80 nucleotides in length. Their secondary structure includes four short double-helical elements and three loops (D, anti-codon, and T loops).
Source: Rfam by way of RNAcentral